Molecule: non-coding RNA, 139 nt
Organism: Triticum aestivum (bread wheat)
Lineage: Eukaryota; Viridiplantae; Streptophyta; Magnoliopsida; Poales; Poaceae
Source: Rfam
AUUCUACUCCCUCCGUUGCACAAUACUACAUGCCUUCUAUUUGUCAAAAUAUAUAUGUAUCUAGACAUGUCUUAGUAUAUAGGUACAUCCAUUUUUGGACAAAUGGAAGUCAUGUAUUUUGGAACGAAGGGAGUACACA